GACGAACGCUGGCGGCGUGCUUAACACAUGCAAGUCGAACGCUGAAGCUCAGCUUUUGUUGGGUGGAUGAGUGGCGAACGGGUGAGUAACACGUGAGUAACCUGCCCCCUUCUUUGGGAUAACGCCCGGAAGCGGGUGCUAAUACUGGAUAUUCACUGGUCUUCGCAUGGGGGUUGGUGGAAAGGGUUUUUCUGGUGGGGGAUGGGCUCGCGGCCUAUCAGCUUGUUGGUGGGGUGAUGGCCUACCAAGGCUUUGACAGGUAGCCGGCCUGAGAGGGUGAACGGUCACAUUGGGACUGAGAUACGGCCGAGACUCCUACGGGAGGCAGAAGUGGGGAAUAUUGCACAAUGGGCGCAAGCCUGAUGCAGCGACGCCGCGUGAGGGAUGGAGGCCUUCGGGUUGUGAACCUCUUUCGCUCAUGGUCAAGCCGCAACAAUGGUUGUGGUGAGGGUAGUGGGUAAAGAAGCGCCGGCUAACUACGUG
This 483-nucleotide ribosomal RNA is filed under the name uncultured bacterium. RNAcentral describes it as "partial 16S ribosomal RNA". It matches the Rfam family "Bacterial small subunit ribosomal RNA", at positions 28 to 507 of the family's 1533-position model. The record is from RNAcentral.